UGCCGACUGAUCCAAAACAUCUUCUUCCUCCUCUUCUGAUUUGGAGUAAUCCACAGCAGUGGUCGCCUCUCGCGAGUUCGUCCAUUUUCUUCCUUCCCUGUCGUCUAUCCAUCGAAGCAGACCUAGGGUUUGGAGCAGGGGAACUUGUCGAGCCAACUCAUUGAAACGACGGGUCUGGAAGUUGUGCGGGGAUUGUUUGACAUAUCUAGUUGAGAUCCCACUUGUAGGCGUGAAGACCAAGACUUUUGAGAGUGAGAGAAGAGUGCAGGAUUAUCUUUGUUGAAGAACAAUAAUGACACAAGGAGUUAAAUUUGAAUACAUGCGCAUAUACUCCAUG
Long non-coding RNA from Zingiber officinale, 337 nucleotides. RefSeq lists it as uncharacterized. The transcript has 3 exons. The record is from RefSeq and is a predicted model, not a curated record. NCBI's taxonomy places the organism in Eukaryota, Viridiplantae, Streptophyta, Magnoliopsida, Zingiberales, Zingiberaceae.